RNAcentral lists this ribosomal RNA (48 nucleotides) under Scleroderma septentrionale. Its description in RNAcentral is "partial 28S ribosomal RNA". Lineage: Eukaryota; Fungi; Basidiomycota; Agaricomycetes; Boletales; Sclerodermataceae. The record is from RNAcentral.
CUUGACCUCAAAUCAGGUAGGACUACCCGCUGAACUUAAGCAUAUCAA